GAUCAUGGCUCAGAUUGAACGCUGGCGGCAGGCCUAACACAUGCAAGUCGGGCGGUAGCACAGAGAGCUUGCUCUCGGAUGACGAGCGGCGGACGGGUGAGUAAUGUCUGGGAAACUGCCUGAUGGAGGGGGAUAACUACUGGAAACGGUAGCUAAUACCGCAUAAUGUCGCAAGACCAAAGUGGGGGACCUUCGGGCCUCAUGCCAUCAGAUGUGCCCAGAUGGG
RNAcentral lists this ribosomal RNA (226 nucleotides) under uncultured bacterium. RNAcentral describes it as "partial 16S ribosomal RNA". It matches the Rfam family "Bacterial small subunit ribosomal RNA", at positions 15 to 239 of the family's 1533-position model. The record is from RNAcentral.